GGUAAACGCUGGCGGUAUGUCUAAUACAUGCAAGUCGAGCGCGAUCUUCGGAUCGAGCGGCGAACGGGUGCGUAACACGUUGGAACCUGCCCCAAACUCAGGGAUAACAUCUAGAAAUAGGUGCUAAUACCGGAUAGUCCCGAAAGGGUAAAGAUUUAUCGGUUUGGGAGGGUCCUGCGGCCUAUCAGCUUGUUGGUGAGGUAAUAGCUCACCAAGGCUAUGACGGGUAGCUGGUCUGAGAGGACGACCAGCCACAAUGGAACUGAGACACGGUCCAUACUCCUACGGGAGGCAGCAGUAAAGAAUCUUUCGCAAUGGAGGAAACUCUGACGAAGCAAUACCGCGUGGGCGAUGAAGGCCGAAAGGUUGUAAAGCCCUUUUCUGAGGGGAUAACUUUGAAGGUACCUCAGGAAUAAGCACCGGCUAACUCCGUG
RNAcentral lists this ribosomal RNA (434 nucleotides) under uncultured bacterium. RNAcentral's name for it is "bacterial SSU rRNA". It matches the Rfam family "Bacterial small subunit ribosomal RNA", at positions 28 to 507 of the family's 1533-position model. The record is from RNAcentral.